GGCCUUGUAGCUCAGGGGUUAGAGCACUUGUCUUGUAAAUUAGGGUCAUGAUUUCAAAUCUCAUCAAGGCCU
Protopterus annectens (West African lungfish) is the source of this 72-nucleotide non-coding RNA. NCBI's taxonomy places the organism in Eukaryota, Metazoa, Chordata, Ceratodontiformes, Protopteridae. The record is from the annotation of a RefSeq genome assembly.